Molecule: ribosomal RNA, 465 nt
Filed under: uncultured bacterium
Lineage: Bacteria
Description: partial 16S ribosomal RNA
Rfam family: Bacterial small subunit ribosomal RNA
Source: RNAcentral
GAUGAACGCUGGCGGCGUGCUUAACACAUGCAAGUCGAACGGAAAGGCUCCUGCUUGCAGGGGUACUCGAGUGGCGAACGGGUGAGUAACACGUGGGUGAUCUGCCCUGCACUUCGGGAUAAGCCUGGGAAACUGGGUCUAAUACCGGAUAGGACGAUGGUUUGGAUGCCAUUGUGGAAAGUUUUUCGGUGUGGGAUGAGCUCGCGGCCUAUCAGCUUGUUGGUGGGGUAAUGGCCUACCAAGGCGUCGACGGGUAGCCGGCCUGAGAGGGUGUACGGCCACAUUGGGACUGAGAUACGGCCCAGACUCCUACGGGAGGCAGCAGUGGGGAAUAUUGCACAAUGGGCGCAAGCCUGAUGCAGCGACGCCGCGUGGGGGAUGACGGCCUUCGGGUUGUAAACUCCUUUCGCUAGGAACGAAGCGCAAGUGACGGUACCUGGAGAAGAAGCGCCGGCUAACUACGUG